Molecule: ribosomal RNA, 253 nt
Filed under: uncultured bacterium
Lineage: Bacteria
Description: partial 16S ribosomal RNA
Rfam family: Bacterial small subunit ribosomal RNA
Source: RNAcentral
UACGUAGGUGGCAAGCGUUGUACGGAAUUACUGGGUGUAAAGGGCGUGUAGGCGGGACUGCAAGUCAGAUGUGAAAGCCCCAGGCUCAACCUGGGGGCUGCAUCUGAAACUGUGGUUCUUGAGUGCUGGAGAGGAAAGCGGAAUUCCUAGUGUAGCGGUGAAAUGCGUAGAUAUUAGGAGGAACACCAGUGGCGAAGGCGGCCUUCUGGACAGUAACUGACGCUGAGGCGCGAAAGCGUGGGGAGCAAACAGG